UACGAAGGGGGCUAGCGUUGCUCGGAAUCACUGGGCGUAAAGCGCACGUAGGCGGGUUGCUAAGUCAGGGGUGAAAUCCUGGAGCUCAACUCCAGAACUGCCUUUGAUACUGAGGAGCUCGAGUCCGGGAGAGGUGAGUGGAACUGCGAGUGUAGAGGUGAAAUUCGUAGAUAUUCGCAAGAACACCAGUGGCGAAGGCGGCUCACUGGCCCGGUACUGACGCUGAGGUGCGAAAGCGUGGGGAGCAAACAGG
Molecule: ribosomal RNA, 253 nt
Filed under: uncultured bacterium
Lineage: Bacteria
Description: partial 16S ribosomal RNA
Rfam family: Bacterial small subunit ribosomal RNA
Source: RNAcentral